This 497-nucleotide ribosomal RNA is filed under the name uncultured bacterium. RNAcentral's name for it is "partial 16S ribosomal RNA". It matches the Rfam family "Bacterial small subunit ribosomal RNA", at positions 28 to 507 of the family's 1533-position model. The record is from RNAcentral.
GACGAACGCUGGCGGCGUGCCUAAUACAUGCAAGUUGAGCGCUGAAGGUUGGUUCUUGUACCAACUGGAUGAGCAGCGAACGGGUGAGUAACGCGUGGGGAAUCUGCCUUUGAGCGGGGGACAACAUUUGGAAACGAAUGCUAAUACCGCAUAAAAACUUUAAACACAAGUUUUAAGUUUGAAAGAUGCAAUUGCAUCACUCAAAGAUGAUCCCGCGUUGUAUUAGCUAGUUGGUGAGGUAAAGGCUCACCAAGGCGAUGAUACAUAGCCGACCUGAGAGGGUGAUCGGCCACAUUGGGACUGAGACACGGCCCAAACUCCUACGGGAGGCAGCAGUAGGGAAUCUUCGGCAAUGGACGAAAGUCUGACCGAGCAACGCCGCGUGAGUGAAGAAGGGUUUCGGAUCGUAAAACUCUGUUGGUAGAGAAGAACGUUGGUGAGAGUGGAAAGCUCAUCAAGUGACGGUAACUACCCAGAAAGGGACGGCUAACUACGUG